CAUUACUGAAGAAAUGGCAAGGUUGAGCUGGCUCUUCGGGGCAUGUGCUCGCUCUGUCGCUUUUUCUACUUUCCACUGUGCACCUUAUGUAGGCUUAUGAUUGACUAUUAAGGGCUUUGGUCCUUUUGAACCUUUUUGUAAGCCUAUGUCUAUAUACACUCUAUAAAGUCUAUGAAUGUCUUAUUGUUGGUCUUGACUGACCGAUAAAAACCUUAUACAACUUUCAGCAACGGAUCUCUUGGCUCUCGCAUCGAUGAAGAACGCAGCGAAAUGCGAUAAGUAAUGUGAAUUGCAGAAUUCAGUGAAUCAUCGAAUCUUUGAACGCAUCUUGCGCCCUUUGGUAUUCCGAAGGGCAUGCCUGUUUGAGUGUCAUUGAACUUCUCAAAGCCCAGUUGGUUUUGCAUCGACUUGGGACUUUGGACUGUGAGGGUUGCCGGUCUUUAUUGGAUCGGACUCCCUUUAAAUGCAUUAGUGGUUACCGAUCCGCUUCCACUUGGUGUGAUAGUAUAUCUACGCCUUUGGGAAUGAUCAGCUGUUAUUCCGCUUCUAACCCGUCUGACCUUGGUCGGACAGCUCCUUGACCAUUUGACCUCAAAUCAGGUAGGACUACCC
RNAcentral lists this ribosomal RNA (612 nucleotides) under uncultured Basidiomycota. RNAcentral's name for it is "eukaryotic LSU rRNA". The stretch from base 219 to 372 matches the Rfam family "5.8S ribosomal RNA". The record is from RNAcentral. Lineage: Eukaryota; Fungi; Basidiomycota.